UGUCUGUUUGGAUUGUUGUCCUCGUUCUUUUUGAUUGAUUUGUCCCAAUGAAGUGCAAUUAGUUUAAGGUUUUGGUGCAACACCCUGAUGAGCAACUCUUGACGUGAUUUGUCCGGUAGAUGCUAAGGGGAGUGUUUUCAGUGCAAUUCCUAAUAUCUGUCUCUGUUUUGAAUUGUCUGGUUGGUUGUUGAGUUCUGAUAGUUUGGGUCUCUGCUCCUCUAAUGUUGUCAUUAUGAGCAUGGGAAACCACACGAGAACAUUUUGGAUCACCUCCAAAAGUGCAAUCUCGUGAAUUAUGGCCCAUCUUUUAUGAGCAAAAAUAACAUGACCCCA
This 333-nucleotide long non-coding RNA is filed under the name Salvia miltiorrhiza (redroot sage). RNAcentral's name for it is "long non-coding RNA (SMIL_LNC010744)". The record is from RNAcentral. Lineage: Eukaryota; Viridiplantae; Streptophyta; Magnoliopsida; Lamiales; Lamiaceae.